CUAAUACAUGCAAGUCGAGCGAAUGAUGAGGAGCUUGCUCCUCUGAUUUAGCGGCGGACGGGUGAGUAACACGUGGGUAAUCUGCCUGUAAGACGGGGAUAACUCCGGGAAACCGGGGCUAAUACCGGAUAAUAAGAGAAGAAGCAUUUCUUCUUUUUGAAAGUCGGUUUCGGCUGACACUUACAGAUGAGCCCGCGGCGCAUUAGCUAGUUGGUGAGGUAACGGCUCACCAAGGCGACGAUGCGUAGCCGACCUGAGAGGGUGAUCGGCCACACUGGGACUGAGACACGGCCCAGACUCCUACGGGAGGCAGCAGUAGGGAAUCUUCGGCAAUGGGCGAAAGCCUGACCGAGCAACGCCGCGUGAGCGAUGAAGGCCUUCGGGUCGUAAAGCUCUGUUGUUAGAGAAGAACAAGUACGAGAGUAACUGCUCGUACCUUGACGGUACCUAACCAGAAAGCCACGGCUAACUACGUGCCAGCAGCCGCGGUAAUACGUAGGUGGCAAGCGUUAUCCGGAAUUAUUGGGCGUAAAGCGCGCGCAGGCGGUCUCUUAAGUCUGAUGUGAAAGCCCACGGCUCAACCGUGGAGGGUCAUUGGAAACUGGGAGACUUGAGUGCAGGAGAGAAAAGUGGAAUUCCACGUGUAGCGGUGAAAUGCGUAGAGAUGUGGAGGAACACCAGUGGCGAAGGCGGCUUUUUGGCCUGUAACUGACGCUGAGGCGCGAAAGCGUGGGGAGCAAACAGGAUUAGAU
Molecule: ribosomal RNA, 752 nt
Filed under: Fictibacillus arsenicus
Lineage: Bacteria; Bacillati; Bacillota; Bacilli; Caryophanales; Fictibacillaceae
Description: bacterial SSU rRNA
Rfam family: Bacterial small subunit ribosomal RNA
Source: RNAcentral